Molecule: ribosomal RNA, 318 nt
Filed under: uncultured Pseudomonadota bacterium
Lineage: Bacteria; Pseudomonadati; Pseudomonadota
Description: bacterial SSU rRNA
Rfam family: Bacterial small subunit ribosomal RNA
Source: RNAcentral
AUUGAACGCUGGCGGUAUGCUUAACACAUGCAAGUCGAACGUGAAAGAGGGGCAACCCUUGAGUAGAGUGGCGGACGGGUGAGUAAUACGUAGGAAUCUACCUUAGAGUGGGGGAUAACCCGGGGAAACUCGGGCUAAUACCGCAUUGUCUCUACGGAGUAAAGGUGGCUAGCAAUAGCUAUCGCUCUAAGAUGAGCCUACGCCGGAUUAGCUAGUUGGUAGGGUAAUGGCCUACCAAGGCAACGAUCCGUAGCUGGUCUGAGAGGACGACCAGCCACACUGGGACUGAGAUACGGCCCAGACACCUACGGGUGGCAG